GGGCAAUUUGCAUUCCUGGGCUACCAUACAAUUUCAAAGGCAAUGCAAACCAAUUUGACAAAUUUCAUUCUGUAAAAACUGAAAUGGGCAAGCUCUUUAUUUAAACCUGUAACUUUCCAAAACACCAUAAAACCUGUACAUGAGGGGGAGAGGGUGGCAUUGUUGCACCCAUGGGACUUCACAGCAUAUAUGUUUUAUUGCCGUAAAAGCUAACUGUAUUAAAACAUUCACAGUGAAAAUGAAAGCAUGAUUAGAAAAGAACAAGCAAUGUUCAUGAAACAGUACUCCCUACAGGGCCUGCCUGCAGUGGACUGGUCUUAACAGAUAAGAAAGCUGCCUGGUGCCCAUUCAUACCAAGCUGACUUGCCAGUAAAUGGGGUUGACUGCCCCUUUCUUGGCAGGUCUAUCCCUUUAGAGUGGAGUUACUGACUAAAUUGCAUUACUGCCCCCCACCCUCCCCGCAUUACUCCCAUCCCACUGGCGUCACAAUGCUCAGGAUACAAAAGUUGGGAGGUAUGUUGUAGCAGUUUACUUGUAUAAAUUACUCCACAAAGGCCUACCAUUUCUAAAUGUAGACACUGCAGGGAAUCUCAUCUGGUAAAUACUGUGCCUUAUUUUACAACCAUUUUGUUUUGUUUUACCAAUUUCAGAGUUUGUUAUUUUAUUUGUAUGUGCUCAUUGCAAUUUCAUAAACUUCAUGUGGGCUCCUGUAAUAAAAAUAACUAAAUUGUACUCAGCUAUAAAAUUAAUACCUGCUAAUAUCCUUGUCCCUGCAAGCUUGUGGGUGGAGAAUGGGGCGGCCCAGUGAUACAAAUCACAUCAGUGGUGCUGCCCAAAAGUGGUGGAUCUGCAUGAAAAAGUCUGCCCUUAGACUUGGCAGGUUGACCUGCUGUGAAUGAAUGCAACACUUCCUGUCAAUCUCACAGGCUAGCCCCCUAAGGCAGGAAAUACAGAGUAAAGGGUAGUGCAAGCACAGCUAAUGCUUUAUGGGGACAGUUCCCUGGCAUCCCAGAGUGGAACACCAGGGAAUAAAGUCAGGACUGGCGUGCUUAAAUCAGGACAAUUUGGAGUCAUGUAAUAUUUCCUGAAAACAGAAUGACCAUCUUCACAUACCCUUGCCAAGUUUUGGAGAAAAUGCAAGGCUGAAUUAAUAACUAUCCCACUGCAGGUUAUUUUUUAAUGGCAAAUAGACUGAUCUUCAAUGAUGCAUUUUGGGGCAUUUUAGUAGCUCACACAUUUAAAUUGCUCCACAAGAUAUAAAAAAAGCUUUUUACUUGUCUUUUUUUAGUGCCAAGUUCCACUCCCUCAGCGCUGUUCGAGGCCGGACUUAGGGGUGUGAGAGAUGGGUGACCGAAUUUAAUAAAGCCCCUCUACAAACACUACAUUCCUAAACACAUACUAUACAUGGAUGAGAGGCACUAAGGUUGUCCCUGGCGCUGCUCAAGUCCCCACCUUCCAUGGCCAUUGGGGACAGGAUGCACAUGUGCAUCCAAUCUCGCAACCAAGCUUCCCCAUAGGAAAGCAUUGUAUACAAUGCUUUUCUAUGAGCUUCCAUGUCAUGUGACUGAGUUUUAUGCAGUGAGUGCAGCAAAAGCACCUCUAGUGCCUGUCAGGAGGACAGCCACUAAAUAUUUAUUUAAAGGGACACUCCAGGCACCCAGACCACUUCUGCC
RNAcentral lists this long non-coding RNA (1673 nucleotides) under Pelobates cultripes (western spadefoot toad). Lineage: Eukaryota; Metazoa; Chordata; Amphibia; Anura; Pelobatidae. The record is from RNAcentral.